CGGCGAGUGAGAGGGAAGAGCCCAAGAUUGAAAGCUGGCGUCUUCGGCGUCCGCAUUGUAAUCUCAAGAAGUGUUUUCCGCUUCGGACCAUGCCUAAGUCCCUUGGAAAAGGGCAUCAUAGAGGGUGAUAAUCCCGUACAUGGCAUGGAGCGCCCGAAGCUUUGUGAUACGCUUUCUACGAGUCGAGUUGUUUGGGAAUGCAGCUCAAAAUGGGUGGUAAAUGCCAUCUAAGGCUAAAUAUUGGGGAGAGACCGAUAGCGAACAAGUACAGUGAUGGAAAGAUGAAAAGAACUUUGAAAAGAGAGUUAAACAGUACGUGAAAUUGCCAAAAGGGAAGGGUAGGAGGUCAGAGAUGCGUCUUGGGAUUCAGCCUUGCUUUUGCAUGGUGUUUUUCCCAAGUUGCAGGCCAACGUCGGUUUUGGGCACUGGAGAAGGGUAGGAGGAACGUGGCACCUCUCGGGGUGUGUUAUAGCCUCCUACUGGAUACAGCGACCGAGACCGAGGAACGCAGCGUACUCGUAAGAGCGGGCCUUUUGGCACCUUUACGCUUAGGGCGUUGGCAUAAUGGCCCUCUACCACCCGUCUUGAAGCAC
Molecule: ribosomal RNA, 593 nt
Filed under: uncultured Pseudozyma
Lineage: Eukaryota; Fungi; Basidiomycota; Ustilaginomycetes; Ustilaginales; Ustilaginaceae
Description: LSU rRNA
Rfam family: Eukaryotic large subunit ribosomal RNA
Source: RNAcentral